This is a long non-coding RNA of Esox lucius (northern pike), 2130 nucleotides long. Lineage: Eukaryota; Metazoa; Chordata; Actinopteri; Esociformes; Esocidae. The record is from Ensembl.
CUUACAACAGUUCACUAACUCAUACAAUCACUACAUCUACAAUGUGUAACUUUGUCCACAAUAUACGCGAAGAACGAAUGAGGAAUGAUUUUUUCCGAGGUAAAGUUAGGCUUCUGUCUCAAUUACGUUUCAAAUUGCCAUAAUGGGCGGGCUAAUGUUGUUUUCCUCAGCGUCUCAGCAUAAGGACAGAAAGCAGGCUCUGAUAAUGCAUUGCUAAUGUUAGCAUACGUCCAUAUGAACUAACGUAACGUUACUUUGCACGAACAUGCAUAACUUUGUUCGACUGUCAUGAAUGUAUGAAAUGUCCAUUGACAUCAAGUAAAAGUUAGUCAAACAUAGAUUAAUCUUACGUUGGCAUCUGUCUUCAAAUUCUUAGUUUUCAGCAGUCUCCAUCUUUCAAAGGCAUCUCCUUUACAAAUUCUUGUUUUAUUUCGGACUUGUCACGACGUAUUUCGGAAUUAUAACGAGGUCUUUUAGAUUUCGUAACAUUAUUUAUCCGACUAGAGUUAGGGUAGGUUAGAGCAGAGCUGGCAACCAGGAUCCCGAAACACUCCCCCAGAUAGCAAAAAAUAUCCGCACUGCUUCUUUUUGCCGCCGGCCCUAAGCUGUCGGCUAUAGAUGCAUCCUGCUGGCGGAGAUGAAACGUUUGCCGCCGAAUACGUCACUCCUAUUUCUUGCGAGAUGCGAGAUUCUUGCGAGAUGCUUCAUUUUCUCUGGCGGUUGCCUCGGUCUAAUGGACCUCGGUCGUCUGGCGGCAAGACGCUUUUAAAUACAAGGCUACUCUCAAAAUCGACCGGCCAUGUUGGUUUGGACACACAUUCGCAUCAGUUCGUCGCUGAAUCGUGAGUUACAGCCUGCAGUUUGCUAGCUCGCAAAGUCAUCGACUACCAUCGUUUAAAUACCUUGGCCAGCUAGAGCAUAACUGGUUAUCUUCACCCAAGAGACCUACUGUUGGUUAAUCGUUUUGGCUUUAAAGGUAAAUGCAUUGUUAGUCACAAUGUCUAGUUACUGUGCCAAAAGGAAAAUAAUAUUGAAAAGAGUUGAGAGGGACAAACAGGACAUUCACUUGAAUCACUACAUGCUACAGAAGUUGCAUCGAUUCCAGAAAACCAGGAAAAUGUUGAACCAUCUGUAGACUUCAGAGCUGGUAUGUAAAAUGAAUUGCUGUGAUGCUUAAUUUGUGAUCCUGUAACUAAACUAUACACUAUGUUAGAUUUUCUAAUUUCUGUUCCCUCUUUCUCAGAACCAGGUUUCUCCCCAGUAAUCCAGACUCCACUUCACAGAGCCAAGAGUUUGAGUACAAAACUCUUGUCUUGGAAACUAUUGCUUCUAUUUAAGAUUAGGAAUCUUUUUAUCUAUAAUCUGUUUUUCAUUAGGGCACUUGACUUUCUGGAAAAAAGGUGUUGAGCUCGCCAAGUACUAAGCUUUACACCACCAGCAGCAAAUGUACCCUGGCAGCAUAUGGGUGAAAACACUGGAGGAGAAAGUCAUCGCUUUGUUAUUGGCCCUUGGAUACCCCUGGCAUCUUGUGUACAGCACAAAGUUUUCAGCUAUGAAGAUUUCCAGGGACUCCAGAAUGAAAACCAAGCUCUGAGGGAGGAGAACCCAGCCCUGAGGGAAUGCAAUGCACAAGCAGCUUCGGAUGACAGCAGCUCAUUUCAAGAGCAGGUGAAGCAAGUAGGGACAAUAUUGAAGACGUUUGCUCUCACUGGGCAGUCAGGUGCGUUACCUGAAAGGAGCAGAAAAAGGCGCCGCACAGCUGAGAGUGACCCACAGCUGACCCCUUAAACCUAGGCUGACUACUGACACCCCAGCAUCACUGAACUGGAACACUUUCUUUAUCCUGCAGUCAGUAACAUCAAGAAGCCAGAAGUGCCAGACUACACUCACAAAAUCCACCCUGUUUUUUUAUUUAUUUUAACUUUAGUAGUGGCUUAUUUCAUUCCGUCUUAACGAUUCUAUUAUAGUUUGUAAAUCCUAUUUCAUACCUGUUACUUGAUAUUGCACAUUAACUAGUACCAAAAUUCUACUUUCAUUUCAUCAGUGUGCUUAACUGUUAUUCUAUUAAUAAUAGCUUGGAAAUACUAUUUCAUACCUCUGAUACUUGAUAUUGUACAUUACCUGGUACCA